Molecule: ribosomal RNA, 101 nt
Filed under: Pogona vitticeps (central bearded dragon)
Lineage: Eukaryota; Metazoa; Chordata; Lepidosauria; Squamata; Agamidae
Source: RNAcentral
CUAACUAACCACCCUGAACACAACCUCUGGCUUUGGAAGCUGAGCUGGUCAGGCCUGGUUAUUAGUUCUUGGAUGGGAGGCCAUCAGAGAAGACCAGAAGC